RNAcentral lists this transfer RNA (72 nucleotides) under Nippostrongylus brasiliensis. It matches the Rfam family "tRNA". Rfam says of the family: Transfer RNA (tRNA) molecules are approximately 80 nucleotides in length. The record is from Rfam by way of RNAcentral. Lineage: Eukaryota; Metazoa; Nematoda; Chromadorea; Rhabditida; Heligmosomidae.
GUUUCAGCAGCGUAGUGGUUAGUGCACAGCCCCGGAUAGGUUGAGACGCGGGUUCGAAUCCCGCCUCAGAUG